Molecule: ribosomal RNA, 445 nt
Filed under: uncultured bacterium
Lineage: Bacteria
Description: partial 16S ribosomal RNA
Rfam family: Bacterial small subunit ribosomal RNA
Source: RNAcentral
GUAAGGAAUAUUGGUCAAUGGGCGGAAGCCUGAACCAGCCAUGCCGCGUGCAGGACGACGGCCCUACGGGUUGUAAACUGCUUUUGCCCAGGAAUAACCCCCCGCUCUUGAGCGGGGCUGAACGUACCGGGAGAAUAAGGAUCGGCUAACUCCGUGCCAGCAGCCGCGGUAAUACGGAGGAUCCGAGCGUUAUCCGGAUUUAUUGGGUUUAAAGGGUGCGUAGGCGGCCUGUUAAGUCAGGGGUGAAAUACGGCAGCUCAACUGUCGCAGUGCCCUUGAUACUGACGGGCUUGAAUACCGGUGAAGGCGGCGGAAUGAGACAAGUAGCGGUGAAAUGCAUAGAUAUGUCUCAGAACCCCGAUUGCGAAGGCAGCUGCCUAACCGGCGAUUGACGCUGAUGCACGAAAGCGUGGGGAUCGAACAGGAUUAGAUACCCGGGUAGUCC